This 207-nucleotide unclassified non-coding RNA is filed under the name Hevea brasiliensis (rubber tree). Lineage: Eukaryota; Viridiplantae; Streptophyta; Magnoliopsida; Malpighiales; Euphorbiaceae. The record is from RNAcentral.
AAAAGGACUUGCCUGACAAGGAAUCAUCAUGACUUUUUGUAAGUUCCACCACAUGCCGUCUGUAAGCCCGUUUUAAUGCCUCCAGAAACAUCACAGGAAUAUCAUCGCUUGCAGUUUUCUUAAGAAGGGUAAUCAGGUGCUUGAUUAUUUCAGCAAUGCUUGCUCCAUGCAUAACAAAAUGUGAAAUGAUUUCUGGACCAAGAUAAU